Mercurialis annua (annual mercury) is the source of this 1642-nucleotide long non-coding RNA. RefSeq lists it as uncharacterized. The transcript is spliced from 7 exons. Lineage: Eukaryota; Viridiplantae; Streptophyta; Magnoliopsida; Malpighiales; Euphorbiaceae. The record is from RefSeq and is a predicted model, not a curated record.
AUUACUCUUUCAAUCCCCCUUUUCUUUUCAAUCGUAUCUUUCUAUUGCUCCUGUCGUUCUUAUCCAUCUUCCUCUCUAUCGUUCUUCAAAAAAGAAUUUACUCUAAAUUUUGUUCCAAAUUUUAUAAGAUCAUUUAGUUUCGUAUUUUUCUCUUUCAUCACCCACCGCCGCCCGCCGUCCAUCACGAUUAACGUCCACCACGACAUCGUUUGAGUCCCACAAAACCAGUCUAAGAGAGUUAUGGAGUUUUUUUGAUAGUGCUUAGAGCUGUGGAGGCUGCACAAAUAAUGCUGAAUGGUCGGCUAGGAGGUCAUCGAGUUUGACGAUGCAUUACGGAGAGCAAAUCUAAGGUGAAUAGGCGAACGGGGUGUAUUCAAGCCAAAUUUUGGCUUGGCAGAAACAUGAGGAAAUAAAAGCUAUUGAGAAAAGUUUGAAUGAGUACAUGUAUCAAAAUUAUGGCCCGAAGCAUCGCGAGGGCUUCGUUCUAGUAUAUAUAUAUAUAUCUGUUAAUAUCUUCAAACAAGUUAUUUGUUAUAUGAAAAGUGAAACACAUUUGGUUAAAUGUUAGCUCAUCCUUUUUAGUCAUUUUUGUUUUUGCUCACUAUCAUAAUGAUAAUGUUGUUUAGAAUUCAUCUGAUACAACUACAAGAAUGAAGCCGGUGGUCAAAAAGAAUACGAAAAUAGCGUUCCAUCUUAACUUUUAUAAAGCCUCACUGAAUGUGUGUGUGUUGUAAAUGUGACGGCGUUUGCAGACGGUUGUCAGUUGCGUAGGGCCAGUUUUAAAUGUCUAUAAAUAUGAAAAAUUAUAUCUUUUCUCUUCUCUUCUAUUUUCUUAGAAAACUGAUUCUAUAGCUUUGUAAUUGUAGAAGAAUUAGAUGGAUUAAGUAGAAUCAGUUUUGAUCAUCCGAGGAGCGCCGACGAAGAUGCAGUUACAGUCACAGGCGACGCCGCCGCCGCACCAAAUGCAAGUAGGGCCUCAGCAUGUCGUGGUGCCUCACCCCGUUCAUAAACUCUCUUUGCAGUCAAUUCAGCUAACGAGAGUACCAUUGCCCUGUGCUAAACAAGGUCUUUACUGAAUUCACUCAUAUUGUCGUUGUGCAAACUACAAGAAACGUUUCUGUUAUGAGGCAAUUAAAGAGUUAAAUAUCAAGACCAAGAUCUGGAAAAGAAGGUUGAAAUAUGUUUAUUACUUAUUUGUUACUGGUGUCACGGACAAAUUGAUGUUUAUUAUUAUUUUUCCGGGUCUUGAACUGGUUUUAUGAGAAGAUAUUACUGAUUUCAGCGAUCACCAUGCUGAGUUUGACAUGAUAAACACUGAAGUAUAGGGUGCUUCAGUUGACAAUAUGACUAUGGUUCGUGCUAAUAAGACGAAGGCAUGGUAACCGGAAAGAGCAGCACUCAAGUAUAUAUUCACGUGCUGGCUGAGUUCACUGUUCUCGCAAAGUUUCGUUUUGAAAAAAUUAUGCAUUUACAUGAUAAUGACGGGUUAUAUAGAAAAAUGAAUUUUUCAUUUUUAAGAUUGAAAAUUUAAAGUCAGUUUAAACUUUUUAAAUCUUCAAACAAGGUAUUUACACUUAUAUUUGUUGUUUAUAUACAUGUUUAAGCUUGUUUUAGUGGAUGAAUUAGUGUUGUUAUGGGUUUA